GCUCUGUAAAGUUACUGGGUAAUAACUUUUUGAAAAAUAUCGAAUUUAGUUUGAUGAUAGGAUUUUUUUUUUAGUGGGAUCUCAUUUUUUCCUAUGCCAGGAAAUACAGCAACUGGACGUCAUAGGUCAAACGUUGACGUCAUUCUCAUUAUGACGUCACGCCAGGUAUGCGAUACGGGUUUUGCUAUGCGAUACGGGGUAUGCGAUACAGGUUUAGCUAUGCGAUACGGGGCAUGCGAUACAGGGUAGGUGAUACAGACUAGAAAAAGGAACCUUUAUUAGAUAUACAAAAUUGCUGUAUUUUGUUCUAAAUAUAUGAUAAACUGUAAUAUAUAUGCUAGUCAUAUAAAUGAUUAUACUAUUUUAUAUUAUAUUUUUGAUGUAUUCAGGGGACUUAAUUCCAUGUUCAACAACAUAUAUUUUGUUAAUACAUUGUAUUGUAUGCCAGGGCUAGUGUAAUAUUUAGAUUGUUUGUCAAAUAAGAAACUAAUGUCAAUUCAAUUGAUUUAUUUUAUUCUUGCCAACAGUUUACAUUUCAAAGAUGUUAAAAUAAAUGUUAUAUUGUAUAUAUA
Molecule: long non-coding RNA, 572 nt
Filed under: Mytilus galloprovincialis (Mediterranean mussel)
Lineage: Eukaryota; Metazoa; Mollusca; Bivalvia; Mytilida; Mytilidae
Source: RNAcentral